CAGCAGCCGCGGUAAUACGAAGGGGGCUAGCGUUGUUCGGAUUUACUGGGCGUAAAGGGCGCGUAGGCGGACUGAUAAGUCAGGGGUGAAAUCCCAAGGCUCAACCUUGGAACUGCCUUUGAUACUGUUUGUCUUGAGUUCGAGAGAGGUAAGUGGAACUGCGAGUGUAGAGGUGAAAUUCGUAGAUAUUCGCAAGAACACCAGUGGCGAAGGCGGCUUACUGGCUCGAAACUGACGCUGAGGCGCGAAAGCGUGGGGAGCAAACAGGAUUAGAUACCCCGGUAGUCCCUGUCUCUUAUAC
Molecule: ribosomal RNA, 301 nt
Filed under: uncultured bacterium
Lineage: Bacteria
Description: partial 16S ribosomal RNA
Rfam family: Bacterial small subunit ribosomal RNA
Source: RNAcentral